GACGAACGCUGGCGGCGUGCUUAACACAUGCAAGUCGAACGGAAAGGCCCUGCUUUUGUGGGGUGCUCGAGUGGCGAACGGGUGAGUAACAAGUGAGUAACCUGCCCUUGACGUUGGGAUAACUUCAGGAAACUGGGGCGAAUACCGGAUAGGAGCUCCUGCUGCAUGGUGGGGGUUGGAAAGUUUCGGCGGUUGGGGAUGGACUCGCGGCUUAGCAGCUUGUUGGUGGGGUAGUGGCUUACCAAGGCUUUGACGGGUGGCCGGCCUGAGAGGGUGACCGGCCACAUUGGGACUGAGAUACGGCCCAGACUCCUACGGGAGGCAGCAGUGGGGAAUAUUGCACGAUGGGCGGAAGCCUGAUGCAGCAACGCCGCGUGCGGGAUGACGGCCUUCGGGUUGUAAACCGCUUUCGCCUGUGACGAAGCGUGAGUGACGGUAAUGGGUAAAGAAGCACCGGCUAACUACGUG
RNAcentral lists this ribosomal RNA (468 nucleotides) under uncultured bacterium. Its description in RNAcentral is "partial 16S ribosomal RNA". It matches the Rfam family "Bacterial small subunit ribosomal RNA", at positions 28 to 507 of the family's 1533-position model. The record is from RNAcentral.